This is a long non-coding RNA of Sapajus apella (tufted capuchin), 4569 nucleotides long. RefSeq lists it as uncharacterized. The record is from RefSeq and is a predicted model, not a curated record. Lineage: Eukaryota; Metazoa; Chordata; Mammalia; Primates; Cebidae. The transcript has 2 exons.
UCACUGUGUUGCCCAGGCUGGUCUCAAAUUACUGCCCUCAAGCAAUCCUCCUGUCUCAGCCUCCCAAAGUGCUGAGAUUAUAGACAUGAGCCACUCCAGCCAGCCUCAAAUAUUCUUAUUACUUGGAAGUAAACCAUCUACUACUCUAUCUGACCUAAGGAUUUAAAAAUAGCUUUCAUUUUAAGAAUAUGAUGUGACUCAUUAGGAGUUUGUCAGCUCAUCAGAUCUUAAGUUUUGCUUUUUGAAGUAGACAGUUUUGGUCAUGUGCAAAGAAAUGAUUUCAGUCUUACCGAUUUACUUAGAAAUCAUGGAGAUGUUGGAUAAUUUGUUAGUCAUCAAAUAGUUUGCUAAAUUUUUAAAUGGCUAACUGGUACAUAUAUAUCAUUUCAAGCAUACCCAAUGCCUGAAUGUCAUGUUUACAACUGGAUUAUAUUUAAUUUUGUUUUUAGUCUAUUAUUUCACUUUUUCUAAUCCUUUGAUGAAUUUUAUCCAUUUGAGUUUAAGUAAGAUUUUCUUUGUAACACAUAGAUUGAAAGAAACUAUGGGGGUGGGUGGAGAAAUAGAAAUGUCUUUCGAGUAUACAGAUUAUAUUAGGCAAGAUUUAAGCAAGCCAGAAAUUCCGGAUUCAGUCCAAGGAUGGUAAAACAACAAGAACAAAAAUAAAACAACAAUAAAAAAUUCAUUCAAAAGGCAUUCAUUCAUUCAUUUGACUUAUUGAUCUAGUAAGUGAUUAAAAAGGUUAAAUACAUUUGACCAUAUAUUGUGCAUGGUAGGUGUUCAAUAAUUAUUUAUUGACUAACUAGAUAUCAAUUUGAUUAAAUAUGAAGAAGCAAGACAUUAAUGAGCCCUCCACAUUCUGCUGUGAGUCAGGUUCUCAGGCAGAGUAAACAAUGAAAGAAACUAUAAAGAGCAAUUAAAGAGCCAUGGGCUCAGUGGUCAGAUGCACAUUUAUUAAUUAUGUGACCUUGAGUAUGUAUCUUAACCUCUCCAGGUUUGUUUCCUGUUUAUUUUUUUUUUAAAGGAGAAAAGUGAUAGUACCUAUUUUAUGAGAUUGUUGUGAAGAUUAAUUGAGAUGAUAUGUGUAAUACAUUGAACAUAUUCCUGGUAUGCAGUGAACACUCAAUAGCUGAGAUCAAUUAUUAUCAGUCUUUAACAAUUUCUUGGGUAGCCUGUGAUUGUAUGAACCUGAGAAGCAUUGCCUCUUCAUGGUUCACAAUAAUCCUUAAAACCAUUCAUUGUAUUGGCCAUGAUCCUCUAAAGCUGAUUUUGUAGUCUUGAUUAUAGCAGUGUCAGUCAACCUGUUAAUUUUAUGGAUGAUGUAUUCUUAAUGUAUUUAAAUUUAGGAUCAAUGUUUAUAACUUUGUUGCUUUCAUGCAGUUACUUCUCCAUCGUAUAAAACAAAAUUAGCUUAAUUAUAUACUUACAUUAUUUGUGAUAUAGUCAAAGAAGUUAGCAUGUAAGUUUCCCUCAAACUAUCCCCAUAGCAGAAAAAUAAUCAGCACAUAUUUAGAGAGGAGUGAAUUUCCUUACCAAUGUUUGUAGUAGAUGUGAUUUAACCAAGACUAGGAGCUAAAACAUGUCUGGGAGGAAUUCAUGGUAAAGUAAGCAAAGGCAAUCUGGUUAGCUCCCACAUUUGGACUCAAGGAUCUCAGAAGUGGGAAGCACAUGAAGGUUUCUGGGAGUUUCUGUGAGAGCUGCAGAAUCUUUGCUUCUAUUUCUGAUUGAAAAUGUGUCAGAACCCUCAGAAAAGGUGAUGUUAUUCUCUGAUGGGCUCAACCUGGUUAACAGCUGAGGGAUCACUGGAGGAAUGGGCCAUGAAACCUCCCGCAUGCCCACCUCCUUGGGGAAGGAGGAACAAGGCAAUUGUCUUUUUCUAUUUCUGUUCUCAACUCCAGCAGGAUGAACAAUUAAGAAACACAGACAGCCACAGAGCACACCUCUGAGACAACAUCUCUCAUUACAGUCCCGGAAUGCUUGGAUUUCAUGAAUCCCACACUGCCCUUGUUCUCUAGUCUCCAGAUGGUUCAAGGGAGCCUGUCAGGAAGCAGGACCAGUGUGACAAUGAAUAAGCUCCUGGUGGGCACCUCUGUAGCUCAGCCUCUCCCUAAUGUAAUCUAGGUUAUUUGUAUUGCAGCAGAAGUAGGAAGAAAGGACCCUGAAAAGUUAACCAAUUCCAGGUGACCCUCUGAGGUACAGACAUGCUUUGGGGAACUGGUGAGGGAGGCACAGAGCAGAUUGGGGAGUCCACGGAAGGGCCAAGGUGUCCCAGUGGGGCUUAUUAGAGCCUACCUGAAGGGAGGGUCUCCUAGGGCACAAACCACCACCGUAGAUCAUGUCUUAGAAUUAUUCUCUAAUCUUUAUUCUGAAAGGGGAGAGUGCUGGAUUUGGAACACGCCUCAGGAAGAGACACGACCCUUUCCAAGGUGGCUUCACUAGAAGCUACUACCUCUCUCUGGAGGGUAGAGAUAUUUGCCAGUCAAAGGGGAAAAUAAAGGAAAAAAGGAACACAGUAAAAGCCAUGAUUUUUUGAAGCCAGCUGAAAGACAGAUGAAAAAGAAGGAAACUAAGGUACCUGAUGUUUUAAGUAUUUUUUCAGAACAGCAGUCCUGUUUGAUUCAGUCUUGAUUUCUUUUAAAGAAAUGGAGUAGGCAUGUUCAUUUUUAUAGCCCUUUAAUUGUGUAUAUUAAUAUGCAUUUUUCAAAUGACAAAUACAUAAAUAUAAGUAAAUGAAUUAAUAACUAAGUAUUGAUGUCCUUAUAUUAGUUUGGUUCCUUUUAUAUUAUAGUCUAGUAUAAUUAUGCCAAGUUAAGCCCCUUCCUCCCAAAGGAAAUAAGAUACUACAAUUUAGAAGAAUUUCAUCCCUAAUAAUCUAUAUUAAAAUGAAAAUUUAAAAAUGUGACAAGAACAAUGGGAGGAUUCAUAAAGUGUUUAAACACUUGAAUUUUGAAUUACUUCUCUUUUAUUUAUUUUUUCUUAUUUUAUUUGAUACCUAUGUAACAUACUUAAUGUUAAUUAAAGACAGUCAAGAGGAAACCAAACAGAUUAAAUUUCUAGGGGGUUGGAAGGAGUGGAGUGGGUGGCUUUAUGCUGCCUUCACACACAUUCUAAUUCCAAAUGUAGCUUUCAGGCAUAGAGAUGUACAUUAAUUUAUAUAUGCACAAUUUCAGAAUUUAAAAAAUGGCAGAUUAUCUGGUUAAUAAAUGGUAAGAAAACUAAAAUGUUAAAGUAAAUCUCUAAGUAGGCAGUUGUUUCUUUAUAUGUAAGCAAAACAGCAUAACUUUAUGGAACCUGCAUUUUAAAAAGCAAAUCUCAAAGUUUAAUGAUCUGACAGGUUCUUUUCUAAAGUCUUGGCCAUGGAUAAAGCGGAAUCCCUAAUCACCUACAGCUAAUCUGUAGCUCAGCUGAGUUGCAGGGCUGUUUACUUGUAAGUAACAAGGGAAAAUUGAAAACUAAUUUAUCUUAUUGCUUACAUAGUUAUAAGCACAGACUUUGCAAAGUUAUGGAGUCAGAGUUGAUAAUGUAAGUAAUUUUUCUGGAUAUAAGAACUAUCAUGGACCAUGAAGAACUGAGUGUCAGUUUCAUGUAACUACAGUCUAUUCAAUAAUCUGCUAAAGGUUGAUAACAAUUGAUGCUACUCUUUAGUGCUUCUCGUGAACUGGGCACUGUAGAAGCGCAUAGUAUAGCAAGUUGAUGGUUCUGAGCUUGUGAAGAUUUCAUUAUGAAGAUGUGCUUCAAGAGGAAAAGCAAAAAUAAAUAAAAAAGUAGACAUUAAACAACAAUCCUCUAAAAGAAAAUUUAAAGUAUUAAUGAUGACUUCGUCUUCCUAAUUUGUUACCCACCGCCUACACCUCAGUCCCUUUCCUGUACUCUUUCCAUGCGUGCCACAAAAACUUCUCCAGUCUAUGGGAAAUCUAAUAUUCAUUCCAAUUUAUUUAGUACAUUCCAGGUGCCUUAUGCCCUCUUCAGUGCUAUGCUUAAUGAAAGGUAUGACAUAGAUUUAGCAUCCAUUUGGCUUUAUAUUCUAUUGCAAUAAAUAUAUUCUCAUAGAUAAGCAUGUAUUGUGACUGUACUGACAACAAUUAAAUGUGUAAUUUAUAAAACAGCUGACAUGUAUUAAUUUUCCUGAGAUAUAACAUCUUUCCAUAAUAUAUUGUACUAUACUUUGGUUGGGAAAAUUAUUUCAUACAUUUUAUCAAAAUCUAGAAAAAAGCAAUUUCUGAAUUCUUUUGUGAGUGUCAUCUUUCCCAAAUAAAUCUCUAUCACAUAGAAACUUCUCCACCAAAGAAACAUAUAUAGCCAAGUCCUAAGCACUUUUUUUCUUCUUUUUUUUUUUUUGGUAGAAAGUGAUUUAUUUGGAGAGAGAGAGAGAGAGAAACAGGAGAAGGAGAGAGAAAGAAACAGCUAACUCUCACGCUGAGUGAGAGAACCGAGAAAGAUGGAAUCCAGGAGAGGAAAGCAGCUUCCACACUGAGUGGAAAGGAAUAGCAAGAGAUGGAAUUUAGGAGGGGAAGGCAGGCUUCCACGAGAGAGUGUGGAAGAGGACCCCAGAGGGGCAAUCCAGGAAAGAGA